RNAcentral lists this ribosomal RNA (2928 nucleotides) under Salmonella enterica subsp. enterica serovar Enteritidis str. SA20094389. RNAcentral's name for it is "bacterial LSU rRNA". It matches the Rfam family "Bacterial large subunit ribosomal RNA". Lineage: Bacteria; Pseudomonadati; Pseudomonadota; Gammaproteobacteria; Enterobacterales; Enterobacteriaceae. The record is from RNAcentral.
GGGUUGUGAGGUUAAGCGACUAAGCGUACACGGUGGAUGCCCUGGCAGUCAGAGGCGAUGAAGGGCGUACUAAUCUGCGAUAAGCGCCGGUAAGGUGAUAUGAACCGUUAUAACCGGCGAUACCCGAAUGGGGAAACCCAGUGUGAUUCGUCACACUAUCAUUAACUGAAUCCAUAGGUUAAUGAGGCGAACCGGGGGAACUGAAACAUCUAAGUACCCCGAGGAAAAGAAAUCAACCGAGAUUCCCCCAGUAGCGGCGAGCGAACGGGGAGGAGCCCAGAGCCUGAAUCAGCAUGUGUGUUAGUGGAAGCGUCUGGAAAGGCGCGCGAUACAGGGUGACAGCCCCGUACACAAAAGCGCAUGUGCUGUGAGCUCGAUGAGUAGGGCGGGACACGUGGUAUCCUGUCUGAAUAUGGGGGGACCAUCCUCCAAGGCUAAAUACUCCUGACUGACCGAUAGUGAACCAGUACCGUGAGGGAAAGGCGAAAAGAACCCCGGCGAGGGGAGUGAAAAAGAACCUGAAACCGUGUACGUACAAGCAGUGGGAGCACAGGUNNNNNNNUGUGACUGCGUACCUUUUGUAUAAUGGGUCAGCGACUUAUAUUCUGUAGCAAGGUUAACCGAAUAGGGGAGCCGGAGGGAAACCGAGUCUUAAUUGGGCGUUAAGUUGCAGGGUAUAGACCCGAAACCCGGUGAUCUAGCCAUGGGCAGGUUGAAGGUUGGGUAACACUAACUGGAGGACCGAACCGACUAAUGUUGAAAAAUUAGCGGAUGACCUGUGGCUGGGGGUGAAAGGCCAAUCAAACCGGGAGAUAGCUGGUUCUCCCCGAAAGCUAUUUAGGUAGCGCCUCGUGAAUUCAUCUCCGGGGGUAGAGCACUGUUUCGGCUAGGGGGCCAUCCCGGCUUACCAACCCGAUGCAAACUGCGAAUACCGGAGAAUGUUAUCACGGGAGACACACGGCGGGUGCUAACGUCCGUCGUGAAGAGGGAAACAACCCAGACCGCCAGCUAAGGUCCCAAAGUCAUGGUUAAGUGGGAAACGAUGUGGGAAGGCCCAGACAGCCAGGAUGUUGGCUUAGAAGCAGCCAUCAUUUAAAGAAAGCGUAAUAGCUCACUGGUCGAGUCGGCCUGCGCGGAAGAUGUAACGGGGCUAAACCAUGCACCGAAGCUGCGGCAGCGACACUGUGUGUUGUUGGGUAGGGGAGCGUUCUGUAAGCCUGCGAAGGUGGCCUGUGAGGGUUGCUGGAGGUAUCAGAAGUGCGAAUGCUGACAUAAGUAACGAUAAAGCGGGUGAAAAGCCCGCUCGCCGGAAGACCAAGGGUUCCUGUCCAACGUUAAUCGGGGCAGGGUGAGUCGACCCCUAAGGCGAGGCCGAAAGGCGUAGUCGAUGGGAAACGGGUUAAUAUUCCCGUACUUGGUGUUACUGCGAAGGGGGGACGGAGAAGGCUAUGUUGGCCGGGCGACGGUUGUCCCGGUUUAAGCGUGUAGGUGUGUGUUCCAGGUAAAUCCGGUUCACUUUAACACUGAGGCGUGACGACGAGGCACUACGGUGCUGAAGCAACAAAUGCCCUGCUUCCAGGAAAAGCCUCUAAGCAUCAGGUAACAUCAAAUCGUACCCCAAACCGACACAGGUGGUCAGGUAGAGAAUACCAAGGCGCUUGAGAGAACUCGGGUGAAGGAACUAGGCAAAAUGGUGCCGUAACUUCGGGAGAAGGCACGCUGACACGUAGGUGAAGUGAUUUACUCAUGGAGCUGAAGUCAGUCGAAGAUACCAGCUGGCUGCAACUGUUUAUUAAAAACACAGCACUGUGCAAACACGAAAGUGGACGUAUACGGUGUGACGCCUGCCCGGUGCCGGAAGGUUAAUUGAUGGGGUCAGCGCAAGCGAAGCUCCUGAUCGAAGCCCCGGUAAACGGCGGCCGUAACUAUAACGGUCCUAAGGUAGCGAAAUUCCUUGUCGGGUAAGUUCCGACCUGCACGAAUGGCGUAAUGAUGGCCAGGCUGUCUCCACCCGAGACUCAGUGAAAUUGAACUCGCUGUGAAGAUGCAGUGUACCCGCGGCAAGACGGAAAGACCCCGUGAACCUUUACUAUAGCUUGACACUGAACAUUGAGCCUUGAUGUGUAGGAUAGGUGGGAGGCUUUGAAGUGUGGACGCCAGUCUGCAUGGAGCCGACCUUGAAAUACCACCCUUUAAUGUUUGAUGUUCUAACGUGGACCCGUUACCCGGGUUGCGGACAGUGUCUGGUGGGUAGUUUGACUGGGGCGGUCUCCUCCUAAAGAGUAACGGAGGAGCACGAAGGUUGGCUAAUCCUGGUCGGACAUCAGGAGGUUAGUGCAAUGGCAUAAGCCAGCUUGACUGCGAGCGUGACGGCGCGAGCAGGUGCGAAAGCAGGUCAUAGUGAUCCGGUGGUUCUGAAUGGAAGGGCCAUCGCUCAACGGAUAAAAGGUACUCCGGGGAUAACAGGCUGAUACCGCCCAAGAGUUCAUAUCGACGGCGGUGUUUGGCACCUCGAUGUCGGCUCAUCACAUCCUGGGGCUGAAGUAGGUCCCAAGGGUAUGGCUGUUCGCCAUUUAAAGUGGUACGCGAGCUGGGUUUAGAACGUCGUGAGACAGUUCGGUCCCUAUCUGCCGUGGGCGCUGGAGAACUGAGGGGGGCUGCUCCUAGUACGAGAGGACCGGAGUGGACGCAUCACUGGUGUUCGGGUUGUCAUGCCAAUGGCACUGCCCGGUAGCUAAAUGCGGAAGAGAUAAGUGCUGAAAGCAUCUAAGCACGAAACUUGCCCCGAGAUGAGUUCUCCCUGAGACUUAAAGUCUCCUGAAGGAACGUUGAAGACGACGACGUUGAUAGGCCGGGUGUGUAAGCGCAGCGAUGCGUUGAGCUAACCGGUACUAAUGAACCGUGAGGCUUAACCUUACAACGCCGAAG